AGUGAAGCGGCAACAGCUCAAAUUUGAAAUCUGGCCCUCGGGUCCGAGUUGUAAUUUGCAGAGGAUGCUUCGGGCGAGGCUUUGAUCGAGUCCCCUGGAAUGGGGCGCCACAGAGGGUGAGAGCCCCGUAUGAUCAGCCGCCGAACCCGUGUGAAGCUCCUUCGACGAGUCGAGUAGUUUGGGAAUGCUGCUCUAAAUGGGAGGUAAAUUUCUUCUAAAGCUAAAUACCGGCCAGAGACCGAUAGCGCACAAGUAGAGUGAUCGAAAGAUGAAAAGCACUUUGAAAAGAGAGUUAAAAAGCACGUGAAAUUGUUGAAAGGGAAGCGCCUAUGACCAGACUCGGGCUCUUGGGAUCAUCCGCCCUUCUGGGCGGUGCACUCCCUCGUUCUCGGGCCAGCAUCGGUUCUCCUCGGGGGAUAAAGGCGCCAGGAACGUGGCUCCCUUCGGGGAGUGUUAUAGCCUGGCGCGUCAUGCUCCGGGGGGGACCGAGGACCGCGCUUCGGCAUGGAUGCUGGCGUAAUGGUCACCGGCGACCCGUCUUGAAACACGGACCAAGGAGUCAAGCAUUAGGGCGAGUGUACGGGUGUAAAACCCGAACGCGCAGUGAAAGCGAACGCUGGUGAGAGCUUCGGCGCAUCACCGACCGAUCCUGAAGUCUUCGGAUGGAUUUGAGUAGGAGCCUUAACGCUUGGACCCGAAAGAUGGUGAACUAUGCCUGAAUAGGGUGAAGCCAGAGGAAACUCUGGUGGAGGCUCGCAGCGGUUCUGACGUGCAAAUCGAUCGUCAAAUUUGGGCAUAGGGGCGAAAGACUAAUCGAACCAUCUAGUAGCUGGUUACCGCCGAAGUUCCCUC
Molecule: ribosomal RNA, 852 nt
Filed under: Ophioceras commune
Lineage: Eukaryota; Fungi; Ascomycota; Sordariomycetes; Magnaporthales; Ophioceraceae
Description: partial large subunit ribosomal RNA
Rfam family: Eukaryotic large subunit ribosomal RNA
Source: RNAcentral